RNAcentral lists this ribosomal RNA (495 nucleotides) under Hydrophis cyanocinctus (Asian annulated sea snake). Its description in RNAcentral is "partial large subunit ribosomal RNA". It matches the Rfam family "Bacterial large subunit ribosomal RNA", at positions 1861 to 2620 of the family's 2925-position model. The record is from RNAcentral. Lineage: Eukaryota; Metazoa; Chordata; Lepidosauria; Squamata; Elapidae.
GCCCAGUGAAUAAUUAAACGGCCGCGGUACCCUAACCGUGCAAAGGUAGCGUAAUCAUUUGUCUAUUAAUUGUAGACCCGUAUGAAAGGCAUAAUGAGGGUUUAACUGUCUCUUUUAGUAUAUCAAUUAAACUGAUCUCCUAGUCCAAAAGCUAGGAUACCAACAUAAGACCAGAAGACCCUGUGAAACUUUAACUAAAAUAUUAAAGCCUAUAAUAACUACUUUAGGUUGGGGCGACCUUGGAAAAUAAAAGAACUUCCACACACAUAUUACAUAAUAAUAUAUAACCGGCCAACAAGCCUAUAACGACCCAGCACAGCUGAUAAUUGAACCAAGCUACUCCAGGGAUAACAGCGCUAUCUUCUUCAAGAGCCCAUAUCAAAAAGAAGGUUUACGACCUCGAUGUUGGAUCAGGACAUCCUAAUGGUGCAACCGCUAUUAAGGGUUCGUUUGUUCAACGAUUAAUAGUCCUACGUGAUCUGAGUUCAGACCGGA